RNAcentral lists this long non-coding RNA (671 nucleotides) under Vulpes vulpes (red fox). RNAcentral describes it as "lncRNA (ENSVVUG00000026600.1)". The record is from RNAcentral. Lineage: Eukaryota; Metazoa; Chordata; Mammalia; Carnivora; Canidae.
GGGGGGAGGGGGGGAGCAAGGAACUACAUUACCCAGAAUCCCUGCGGCAGAACCUGGGCCGGCCCCUGGCUUCCAAGCCAACUGGCAGUCUGAACUGAUAAGCCAAUCAGGGUAUGAGACUGAGGCUGGUGUUCUCAUCGGCUCCUCAGAGAAACUGAAGGUGAUGGUCAAGAAGGGUUAGAACAUCACCAAACAACAUAGCCCAGCUCCAAAGCUCUGUUCAGCACCCAUGAUUUGCCAGCUUGGAUCCAGCCCAGCAAAGGAGGUCUCUGCAGCCAUGGGAGCACGUUUGCAGCCUCGUUAGUGGAUGUGGAGUGGACUCUCUAGCUGGAAAGCAUGGGUGUCACAUUCUGCCUGAGAAGGGUUUCAGCAACCUGGAAAUCACCUAUUCCAGAGACUGUAUCUAUAAAAUGCAGCCUGGAUCCCUGAGUCACUGCUUGGAAGAGAACUUCUUUGGAGAGCCAAUGGACCCAGAACAGACUUUUCAGGAACCAAAAAUAAACAUUUGUGUAUUAAACCACUGAAAUCUCCGAGAUAGUUUGUUACUGCAGCAUAGCCUCACUUAACCUGACUAAUACACCAUGUGCUCCAGAUCUACUAGUUGGGAUGGAGUUACUAACCCACAUUGGACUACGACAGUGUGAGGAAUAAACUGCCAUUGGGUUAAGUCA